UACGGAGGGCGCAAGCGUUGUCCGGAUUUACUGGGUGUAAAGGGUGUGUAGGUGGAAUUUCAAGUCAGUGGUGAAAGCCUGCGGCUUAACCGUAGAAUUGCCAUUGAUACUGUUGUUCUUGAGUACUGGAGAAGUUACUAGAAUUCGUGGUGUAGCGGUGAAAUGCGUAGAUAUCACGAGGAAUACCAGAGGCGUAGGCGGGUAACUAGACAGAUACUGACACUGAGGCACGAAAGCGUAGGGAGCAAACAGG
This 253-nucleotide ribosomal RNA is filed under the name uncultured bacterium. RNAcentral describes it as "partial 16S ribosomal RNA". It matches the Rfam family "Bacterial small subunit ribosomal RNA", at positions 524 to 776 of the family's 1533-position model. The record is from RNAcentral.